This 250-nucleotide ribosomal RNA is filed under the name uncultured eukaryote. Its description in RNAcentral is "partial small subunit ribosomal RNA". It matches the Rfam family "Eukaryotic small subunit ribosomal RNA", at positions 587 to 828 of the family's 1831-position model. The record is from RNAcentral.
AGCUCCAAUAGCGUAUAUUAAAGUUGUUGCAGUUAAAAAGCUCGUAGUUGGAGUUCAGAGUGAGCUCAGACGGUCGGCCUUAUGGGUCAGAACUGGUUGACUCUCUCUUGUUUGUGGAUCCCGCCCGGAGUUAAUUCUUCGGAUGUGGACUCCACAUCGUUUACCUUGAAAAAUUAGAGUGUUCAAAGCAGGCGUUUUUAUGAAAGAUGAACUUCUGCGAAAGCAUUUGCCAAGGAUGUUUUCAUUAAUC